RNAcentral lists this ribosomal RNA (2096 nucleotides) under Escherichia coli. RNAcentral describes it as "partial 23S ribosomal RNA". It matches the Rfam family "Bacterial large subunit ribosomal RNA", at positions 770 to 2843 of the family's 2925-position model. The record is from RNAcentral. Lineage: Bacteria; Pseudomonadati; Pseudomonadota; Gammaproteobacteria; Enterobacterales; Enterobacteriaceae.
AGGACCGAACCGACUAAUGUUGAAAAAUUAGCGGAUGACUUGUGGCUGGGGGUGAAAGGCCAAUCAAACCGGGAGAUAGCUGGUUCUCCCCGAAAGCUAUUUAGGUAGCGCCUCGUGAAUUCAUCUCCGGGGGUAGAGCACUGUUUCGGCAAGGGGGUCAUCCCGACUUACCAACCCGAUGCAAACUGCGAAUACCGGAGAAUGUUAUCACGGGAGACACACGGCGGGUGCUAACGUCCGUCGUGAAGAGGGAAACAACCCAGACCGCCAGCUAAGGUCCCAAAGUCAUGGUUAAGUGGGAAACGAUGUGGGAAGGCCCAGACAGCCAGGAUGUUGGCUUAGAAGCAGCCAUCAUUUAAAGAAAGCGUAAUAGCUCACUGGUCGAGUCGGCCUGCGCGGAAGAUGUAACGGGGCUAAACCAUGCACCGAAGCUGCGGCAGCGACGCUGAUGCGUUGUUGGGUAGGGGAGCGUUCUGUAAGCCUGUGAAGGUGUGCUGUGAGGCAUGCUGGAGGUAUCAGAAGUGCGAAUGCUGACAUAAGUAACGAUAAAGCGGGUGAAAAGCCCGCUCGCCGGAAGACCAAGGGUUCCUGUCCAACGUUAAUCGGGGCAGGGUGAGUCGACCCCUAAGGCGAGGCCGAAAGGCGUAGUCGAUGGGAAACAGGUUAAUAUUCCUGUACUUGGUGUUACUGCGAAGGGGGGACGGAGAAGGCUAUGUUGGCCGGGCGACGGUUGUCCCGGUUUAAGCGUGUAGGCUGGUUUUCCAGGCAAAUCCGGAAAACUAAGGCUGAGGCGUGAUGACGAGGCACUACGGUGCUGAAGCAACAAAUGCCCUGCUUCCAGGAAAAGCCUCUAAGCAUCAGGUAACAUCAAAUCGUACCCCAAACCGACACAGGUGGUCAGGUAGAGAAUACCAAGGCGCUUGAGAGAACUCGGGUGAAGGAACUAGGCAAAAUGGUGCCGUAACUUCGGGAGAAGGCACGCUGAUAUGUAGGUGAAGUCCCUCGCGGAUGGAGCUGAAAUCAGUCGAAGAUACCAGCUGGCUGCAACUGUUUAUUAAAAACACAGCACUGUGCAAACACGAAAGUGGACGUAUACGGUGUGACGCCUGCCCGGUGCCGGAAGGUUAAUUGAUGGGGUCAGCGCAAGCGAAGCUCUUGAUCGAAGCCCCGGUAAACGGCGGCCGUAACUAUAACGGUCCUAAGGUAGCGAAAUUCCUUGUCGGGUAAGUUCCGACCUGCACGAAUGGCGUAAUGAUGGCCAGGCUGUCUCCACCCGAGACUCAGUGAAAUUGAACUCGCUGUGAAGAUGCAGUGUACCCGCGGCAAGACGGAAAGACCCCGUGAACCUUUACUAUAGCUUGACACUGAACAUUGAGCCUUGAUGUGUAGGAUAGGUGGGAGGCUUUGAAGUGUGGACGCCAGUCUGCAUGGAGCCGACCUUGAAAUACCACCCUUUAAUGUUUGAUGUUCUAACGUUGACCCGUAAUCCGGGUUGCGGACAGUGUCUGGUGGGUAGUUUGACUGGGGCGGUCUCCUCCUAAAGAGUAACGGAGGAGCACGAAGGUUGGCUAAUCCUGGUCGGACAUCAGGAGGUUAGUGCAAUGGCAUAAGCCAGCUUGACUGCGAGCGUGACGGCGCGAGCAGGUGCGAAAGCAGGUCAUAGUGAUCCGGUGGUUCUGAAUGGAAGGGCCAUCGCUCAACGGAUAAAAGGUACUCCGGGGAUAACAGGCUGAUACCGCCCAAGAGUUCAUAUCGACGGCGGUGUUUGGCACCUCGAUGUCGGCUCAUCACAUCCUGGGGCUGAAGUAGGUCCCAAGGGUAUGGCUGUUCGCCAUUUAAAGUGGUACGCGAGCUGGGUUUAGAACGUCGUGAGACAGUUCGGUCCCUAUCUGCCGUGGGCGCUGGAGAACUGAGGGGGGCUGCUCCUAGUACGAGAGGACCGGAGUGGACGCAUCACUGGUGUUCGGGUUGUCAUGCCAAUGGCACUGCCCGGUAGCUAAAUGCGGAAGAGAUAAGUGCUGAAAGCAUCUAAGCACGAAACUUGCCCCGAGAUGAGUUCUCCCUGACUCCUUGAGAGUCCUGAAGGAACGUUGAAG